RNAcentral lists this transfer RNA (86 nucleotides) under Collibacillus ludicampi. RNAcentral's name for it is "tRNA-Leu". It matches the Rfam family "tRNA". Rfam says of the family: Transfer RNA (tRNA) molecules are approximately 80 nucleotides in length. Their secondary structure includes four short double-helical elements and three loops (D, anti-codon, and T loops). The record is from RNAcentral. Lineage: Bacteria; Bacillati; Bacillota; Bacilli; Caryophanales; Alicyclobacillaceae.
GCGAUCGUGGCGGAAUCGGCAGACGCGCACGUUUGAGGGGCGUGUGGGUUUAUCCCGUGGUGGUUCAAGUCCACUCGAUCGCACCA